This 1334-nucleotide ribosomal RNA is filed under the name Candidatus Phytoplasma australasiaticum. RNAcentral's name for it is "bacterial SSU rRNA". It matches the Rfam family "Bacterial small subunit ribosomal RNA", at positions 108 to 1441 of the family's 1533-position model. The record is from RNAcentral. Lineage: Bacteria; Bacillati; Mycoplasmatota; Mollicutes; Acholeplasmatales; Acholeplasmataceae.
GAGUAACACGUAAGCAACCUACCCUAAAGACGAGGAUAACCAUUGGAAACAGUGGCUAAGACUGGAUAGGAAGAUAAAAGGCAUCUUUUAUCUUUUAAAAGACCUAGUAAUAGGUAUGCUUUAGGAGGGGCUUGCGCCAUAUUAGUUAGUUGGUAGGGUAAUGGCCUACCAAGACGAUGAUGUGUAGCUGGACUGAGAGGUUGAACAGCCACAUUGGGACUGAGACACGGCCCAAACUCCUACGGGAGGCAGCAGUAGGGAAUUUUCGGCAAUGGAGGAAACUCUGACCGAGCAACGCCGCGUGAAUGACGAAGUACUUCGGUAUGUAAAGUUCUUUUAUCAAGGAAGAAAAGCAAAUGGCGAACCAUUUGUUUGCCGGUACUUGAUGAAUAAGCCCCGGCUAAUUAUGUGCCAGCAGCCGCGGUAAGACAUAAGGGGCAAGUGUUAUCCGGAAUUAUUGGGCGUAAAGGGUGCGUAGGCGGUCUAGUAAGUCAGUGGUGUAAUGGCAACGCUUAACGUUGUCCGGCUAUUGAAACUGCUAAACUUGAGUUAGAUAGAGGCGAGUGGAAUUCCAUGUGUAGCGGUAAAAUGCGUAAAUAUAUGGAGGAACACCAGAGGCGUAGGCGGCUCGCUGGGUCUUAACUGACGCUGAGGCACGAAAGCGUGGGGAGCAAACAGGAUUAGAUACCCUGGUAGUCCACGCCGUAAACGAUGAGUACUAAGUGUCGGGUUAAACCGGUACUGAAGUUAACACAUUAAGUACUCCGCCUGAGUAGUACGUACGCAAGUAUGAAACUUAAAGGAAUUGACGGGACUCCGCACAAGCGGUGGAUCAUGUUGUUUAAUUCGAAGAUACCCGAAAAACCUUACCAGGUCUUGACAUGUUUUUGCAAAAUGAUAGUAAUAUCGUGGAGGUUACCAGAAACACAGGUGGUGCAUGGUUGUCGUCAGCUCGUGUCGUGAGAUGUUAGGUUAAGUCCUAAAACGAGCGAAACCCUUAUCGUUAGUUGCCAGCACGUUAUGGUGGGGACUUUAACGAGACUGCCAAUGAUAAAUUGGAGGAAGGUGAGGAUCACGUCAAAUCAGCAUGCCCCUUAUGACCUGGGCUACAAACGUGAUACAAUGGCUGUUACAAAGGGUAGCUGAAACGCAAGUUCUUGGCCAAUCCCCAAAAACAGUCCCAGUCCGGAUUGAAGUCUGCAACUCGACUUCAUGAAGUUGGAAUCGCUAGUAAUCGCGAAUCAGCAUGUCGCGGUGAAUACGUUCUCGGGGUUUGUACACACCGCCCGUCAAACCACGAAAGUUGGCAAUACCCCAAAACGGUAGCCUAACUC